UACGUAGGGUGCAAGCGUUGUCCGGAAUUAUUGGGCGUAAAGAGCUCGUAGGCGGUUCGUCGCGUCGGCUGUGAAAUCCCGAGGCUCAACCUCGGGUCUGCAGUCGAUACGGGCGGACUGGAGUUCGGCAGGGGAGACUGGAAUUCCUGGUGUAGCGGUGAAAUGCGCAGAUAUCAGGAGGAACACCGGUGGCGAAGGCGGGUCUCUGGGCAACAACUGACGCUGAGGAGCGAAAGCGUGGGGAGCGAACAGG
Molecule: ribosomal RNA, 253 nt
Filed under: uncultured bacterium
Lineage: Bacteria
Description: partial 16S ribosomal RNA
Rfam family: Bacterial small subunit ribosomal RNA
Source: RNAcentral